Long non-coding RNA from Sycon ciliatum, 2333 nucleotides. RefSeq lists it as uncharacterized. NCBI's taxonomy places the organism in Eukaryota, Metazoa, Porifera, Calcarea, Leucosolenida, Sycettidae. The transcript has 2 exons. The record is from RefSeq and is a predicted model, not a curated record.
UUGUGGUGCUCGUUACCUUACUGAGACAUCUCGUGACCGUGGUUAGUGUCACCAACGGCGGAACGAGGCAGAGCGCCGGGAUCGAGCGUGUAAAAACGCGCUGCAUUAGCAGCUCCUGGAUACAGAGCCAAGGUGCAAGCCAGCAUGAGAGAUCUUGAGAGAUGGGAGAUCAGCAUGAGAGAUGAGAUCAGCAUGAGAUCAGCAUGAGAUCAGCAUGAGAGAAUGUAAAACUUCCAACUGGAGAGUGCUAUGUUGUUAGGGACGUGUCCCAAAGUGCCAUCACAUGGCUGUGGAGACUAGUACACACAUGGAGGAAUAUUUUUACUACAGUGAUACGGAGUGAUAUGGAGUACAGAUGGAUGGAUAGAAAAGAAAACUGAGAUGAUGGGAAGUAAGUACAUGUCAUGUAAGUUGAUUGUGUGGAAGAAAUUUGAAACAAGAUAAAAUAAAAGUUUCACUCAAACAUACAUGUAACAUCCUGAUUAGUAUUCCAUCUUCAUUUUUCCAGUUAGUGGCACUCCACACGCUCCGAUUACCUGGCGUAUAUGUGUGUGUGUGUGUGUGUGUGUGUGUGUGUGUGUGUGUGUGCGCGUGUGUGUGUGUGUGUGUGUGUGUGUGUGUGUGUGUGUGUGCCAGCUAGUCCGGUUGGUGGGUACACUUAUGCCUGAUUGUGUUGGUUCUGUUGCCAAUGGGCUCGGCUGCUUGAAGGUGUAAUGUUGUACCUGCCACCUUUGUUGGUUGCAGGGUUCAUAUACUUUCUAUUUGAAGUAUACAUACCUGUUAACCAUGGACUGCUUCUGGCUAGAUUAACUCUUGUGUAAUCAAUGGUGCUAGUGAAGCUUAUAUCAGAUCCACUCUGAUUUAGCCACCCACACUAGUAGCAAGUAUUACCUUCACUGGGGGCAGGGGUAACUGCAGUUGGAUCCCGGGACGGAUACCCUGAUUCCGUCAAUCCUUUUUCUGGAACUUGUCCUCGCCCACUUACUGAGGUGUGAUGAGCCCAUAAGUGGGAUAGUUUUCAAGUCCACCCAGAGUUUUGGGGAUUUCAGGGUUUUUUAGCCAUUGAGCGGUUCUAUAGCCAAUUGAGUCAUCUUUCCAAGAUUCCUUUUGAGUCUCUCUCCCCUCUCCCGGGGAGACCCACGUGACCAGUUUUGGAAGUGAGCAACAAGCACAAGUGUGUGUAUGUGUGUGAGUGUGUGUGUUUGUGUGUGUGUGUGUGUGCGCGUCCUCAGCCCUUGCAAAGACCCUUGGAGUGCCUGAGGACAUUGGUCACAUCGUACGGAAACGGCGUUUGCGCUGGCUUGGACACGUGACACGGAUGGAAGAUGACCGGUUGCCCAAGUGUGUUCUCUUCGGUGAACUGCCUGCCCCGCGUCCCGCGCAUGCUCCAGGCAAGAGGUGGAGGACGUCAUUAUGGAUGACGUUUCGUCGGUUGAGCCACCGGUACCAACAUGUUGAUGGUACGGUGCAGCCCAGAACAGUCCGGAGUGGCGUACCAUUGCCCGUCGACCACCCAAUGCACCCUCUGCUGCUGGCUACGGUUGCGCCUGUGGCCGCAUGUUCCGUCGAAGUGGCGACCUGAAACGCAAUCAGUCGUUCUGUCGUGGACUGGAGAAUUAACUAUGCGCUAUCAUUGCUAAGCAAUGGGCAAGGUUCAAGGCAAGAUGCACGUCAUGAAGCAUUCGGCCCGUGAUCUCAGUGUCUGGUAGCUUAUGUAGCCGUGGUUGUAUGGGUGAUCAAAGAUGAUACUCUGCAUAUCAAUGUAAGUGUGAAGUAUUUGUGCUCUGCCCAUACAACACAGCAACAACGACAGAGUUACAUAGCCAGUGGCUGGCAAUGGUGAAGUAAUCAUAUGAAUAUGUGUUAGUAUUCCUGACCUAUUGUAAGCAAGUAAGCUCAUCAUUACUACAAGACUAAUAGUAUUACUAGCAGCAGACAUGACGUCAUUCUCCUGUUUACAUACCUCUAAUAUCUGUAUGUACAGCUGCAGCAGCAGUGGGUACCAUGGCAACACAGUACACACUUUAUCUCCCUCCCAUGUUCAGUUUUACUGCUCUGCACACACCAUCGUGGUGUUGUUGGCGUGUGUUGUGUGGUUUUGUUCUCAGCAUCUUCAGCAUAGUACACGUAGUGAAUCAUGUACCGGGUUACUUUCCAUCGCCUGCUGCCUCCGCUGCCGUAUACGUAUCGUUUUUAUUGAGAUGACGUGAGUUUACCGUGAUCAGUGAUUUCCCCGUCACCCCGGCUUGCGUGCUGUCAUACUGAAAGCUUUCCAAUCUAUUGAAUCUAUCCUUUUUGUUCUUGCCUGCAACAGCAAUCAACACUCUACCAUC